UUUCACCGAUUAUGCACAAGACAGUGAUCUUUUGAAGAAUUAUGCAAAAUGGAAGGGUGUGUUUAGAUAAUUGUGCUUUAUUUAGAAAUAGAAUAGAACAGAAUAGAAAAUCCCUUUAUUGUCCCCCAAUGCUAUGGAGGACCAAUCCUGCCAUUAUAGAAAACACAUACAGAAAUAAACUUAGGACUAAAUAAUAUAAAGAUGCAUGAAAAAGUGGCUAAUGUUAUGAAUUUGUGUGCCAUUAAAUGCAACAUAUAAAUAAAAAGAAGUUAUUUCUUUAACAAUUGAUCAAUUAUCUAAAAACAUUUAUCAUAACUUCCACUUUUAUUUUAUCUUUUCUUCUUGCUGACUUAUUUUGAACCCAUUUAUUUUCUGUAAUACAUUAUUUUAUUUUUAUUUUUAUCUUUAUUUCAUGUUUGUGUAUUUAUUACAAGUUGUUUUUUUUUUGUUCCAGAUUUCCACUGUAACCCUUUUCAUUGUUGAUAUUUAUUCACGCCAAAAUUAAAAUACAUUGUUAUUUAUGUUUCAUGCCGAUUCACACCACAAUAUUUUUACACAACUAUUGGCCAAAGCCUAGCUCCCCGGAAAUGGUAAUUAAGUAAGAGUAGUGCAGGAUUGGAUUUUCCCUCCAGGCAAAGAUGUAGCAAUGACUAACUUAUGGAAUGCCAUAGAAAACUAAGGCAAGUUGCUGAUUUGUCAGAAUACAUCACGAUUUCUAAUGAUUAUGUUCUGUAUUGUCUCGACUGCUUAACAGACAGAAUCAAACUGCUAGAAGCAACUACUGAAAUAGAUCUUGACCCAGCAGCGUUAAGAAACUUGGGCGAGGUGGUGUUGUGCUAAAAACUGACAGUCUGCCAAAAGGUGAUCGGCUUAGAUGGGGUGUGUCACCGUAGAGCAGCAAGCUCAAAGAAAUCAAACACUAUUUUGAAAUCAAAUGCUAUUAACACAAGUAAAACAGUUAUAUUGUAUAAUCAAGGUUACAUCAGAUGUGUGUAUUAUUUGCCUUUCUCCUCCUCUUCUCCCUAUCAAAGGAUUCAAUCUGCAAAUUUUCCCUCAUAAACAUCUCAAAAUCCUAAACAGACUUUGGCAAAAAAGUCAACUUUAGGCAACGUAUUUGCAGUAAGUUUGCUUAGAUUUAAAAACAUUCUGUAACGUUACUGUACUGUGAUGGAUGUAACUCAAUAAAUUAUUUAA
Long non-coding RNA from Cyprinodon tularosa, 1194 nucleotides. RefSeq lists it as uncharacterized. NCBI's taxonomy places the organism in Eukaryota, Metazoa, Chordata, Actinopteri, Cyprinodontiformes, Cyprinodontidae. The record is from RefSeq and is a predicted model, not a curated record. The transcript has 2 exons.